GAUGAUUUCUGUUUCGGCAGGCUGAAUUUCAGUGCUAUGAUGAAGAGAAGCCCAGAGUGUCACAAAUGCUCAGAGCUGGAGCAUCCUACACCCCGCGAGGAUUAGUGAAAACAUCCUGGAGAUUGGACUCACCUUAAGUGACUCGGGCGCAGGAUGACUGAAGAGGAUAACUGGACUUGAGAGCACAGCUGGAGAAAUUUAUUCUGAAAGCUGUUUUGCUGCUGCGGUGCCAUGCAGUCUUUCCCCUGAAACUGCUCAAGGGGGUCAGCUGGACGGCGUUGCCGGUCCUCAAUGGAGAGAAAAUGUCUGUGUACUCUUGGAAGAGCUGUUGUACUGACACAAUCAAGGGCAAGAAGAAGGAAAAAAUCAAAUGUGGUUAAAAUGUUUAGAAGGGCAUCAACAAAGCUGGAAUAUUGGUCAAAGAUUUAUUAACUACUGGUACUCACAUU
This 449-nucleotide long non-coding RNA is filed under the name Equus asinus (donkey). Its description in RNAcentral is "lncRNA (ENSEASG00005034406.1)". Lineage: Eukaryota; Metazoa; Chordata; Mammalia; Perissodactyla; Equidae. The record is from RNAcentral.